UGGGGAAUAUUGGACAAUGGGCGAAAGCCUGAUCCAGCCAUGCCGCGUGUGUGAAGAAGGUCUUCGGAUUGUAAAGCACUUUAAGUUGGGAGGAAGGGCAUUAACCUAAUACGUUAGUGUUUUGACGUUACCGACAGAAUAAGCACCGGCUAACUCUGUGCCAGCAGCCGCGGUAAUACAGAGGGUGCAAGCGUUAAUCGGAAUUACUGGGCGUAAAGCGCGCGUAGGUGGUUUGUUAAGUUGGAUGUGAAAUCCCCGGGCUCAACCUGGGAACUGCAUUCAAAACUGACUGACUAGAGUAUCGUAGAGGGUGGUGGAAUUUCCUGUGUAGCGGUGAAAUGCGUAGAUAUAGGAAGGAACACCAGUGGCGAAGGCGACCACCUGGACUAAUACUGACACUGAGGUGCGAAAGCGUGGGGAGCAAACA
This 427-nucleotide ribosomal RNA is filed under the name uncultured bacterium. RNAcentral describes it as "partial 16S ribosomal RNA". It matches the Rfam family "Bacterial small subunit ribosomal RNA", at positions 355 to 774 of the family's 1533-position model. The record is from RNAcentral.